Molecule: long non-coding RNA, 247 nt
Filed under: Daucus carota (carrot)
Lineage: Eukaryota; Viridiplantae; Streptophyta; Magnoliopsida; Apiales; Apiaceae
Description: long non-coding RNA (DCAR_LNC001282)
Source: RNAcentral
GGGUCGUUUGGGUGAGCUUAAAAUAAGUACUUUUUGCUUAAAAUAAAAAAGUGAAUUAGAAGUCAGAAGCAAGUUAAGACUUAUAAGUGAUUAAACUGUUUGGGAAAUAAGUAGAAGUCCUGAAACAAAAGCUAGCAUUCUUAACUUCUUUUAAGUGCUUCUCGACUUUUUACACAAACGGUACAAAUAAGUGUUUCUAACUUAUAAGCCCAGAAGCUGGGCUUAUAAACGUUUCCCAAACACCACC